GAUCGAAUGGCUCAACUUAUGCAAGACAGUUGUGCAAAACAGUGUCUUCAGACUUAGAAAGGGCACACAUCUAGCUGAAACAAAUUUAAGCAUAAGAAAGAAGAGAAUCCAUCGACCCUUUGAUUGGAAAGCUUAGUCACUGACUGAACACCGGCAUCACUUGCUCCAGAGACUCAAUGGCAAUGCUCAGCG
This 192-nucleotide long non-coding RNA is filed under the name Fukomys damarensis (Damara mole-rat). RNAcentral's name for it is "lncRNA (ENSFDAG00000029598.1)". Lineage: Eukaryota; Metazoa; Chordata; Mammalia; Rodentia; Bathyergidae. The record is from RNAcentral.